UUGCAUUUGAGGCCAGUGAGGAUGAGAACCUCCGGGGGCAGGAGGUUCGACUCGAGCGAAGCGAGAGAACGUUGCGUCAGCAACGGCCCGCAGGGCGAGCCACGAAGUGGUGAGUCAUCCUCUAUCACCGACCA
Molecule: small RNA, 134 nt
Filed under: Klebsiella pneumoniae
Lineage: Bacteria; Pseudomonadati; Pseudomonadota; Gammaproteobacteria; Enterobacterales; Enterobacteriaceae
Description: RtT sRNA
Rfam family: RtT RNA
About the family: This family represents a bacterial cis-regulatory element known as RtT RNA.
Source: RNAcentral